CAGAAAAAUACUGCAAGUAGAAUAAGGCGGGAAUUCUCCCUCUCUCUAAAUUCCAUACGUAACUGCAACCAGGCCUAAUUGCCAUGGGGAUCGAUCCCUCUUUCAGUAUAUUAACAGUACGAAUUCCACUCCCAAUAUACACAUAUUCAUACACACAAUCACUGAAAUUUAACGCUCUAACAGAAAAAUGGAAAACUCUAAUGGUGAUGUGAAGGCCCAUAUAUCUGCUGUUAUAUUUGAUUUGGAUGGAACCCUAUUAAGCACAGGUGUGUAAUUUCACUUCUUUUUCUUGAUUUCUGCAAAACUGGUGGUUUGGAUGCAUAAUUAUGCGAUUGAAUGUUUUGCAGAGCAAGUGACAAGGGAUAUUCUGAAGGAUUUCUUAGCAAAAUAUGGUAAGAUGCAGGAUAAGGAGAAGGAGAAGAAGAGAUUGGGUAUGGUCAACAAAGAAGCGGCAAUUGCCAUUGUCAAUGAUUAUGAACUUCCGCUCACGCCUGAACAGUUUACCCUGGAAAUCAUGCCCAUGUACCAUGGUUUGUAAGUACAAAUACUUCUAUCUCCACUUAAGAACGCUGAACACGUAUACAUUUUAUAAUAAGAGGAUAUUGCAUUAAUUGUUCGAAGUUGUAAAUUUUCUUUAUGUAAAAUCAAUUUUUAUGAAUCGAUUAUUACGUGGACGAAAAUUAAAAUUAAGCAGUAAAAAAUUCGUUUGUGGUUUGUAAUAAUGUGAUAGAUGAGUUUAG
Molecule: long non-coding RNA, 740 nt
Filed under: Olea europaea subsp. europaea
Lineage: Eukaryota; Viridiplantae; Streptophyta; Magnoliopsida; Lamiales; Oleaceae
Source: RNAcentral